CAUGUUUCUGGAUGUCCAGCAGAGAGCAGAGUGUGGAGUGGAAGAUGCCUUCUACUUUGUCGACAGAUUUCCUGAACUUCUCCCAUACAAUGGACCUGAAGAGCGUGACAAACUUUGUGAGGAGUUUCUGGACUACCAGACCAUGGACAUUGCCAUGCCCGACGACCCAGCAAUGUUUGACUUUGAGAGAUUUUGGGGGAACAUGGCAUCAAUGAAGAACAAGGUGACCGGUAUGAGCAGAUUUGGCAGGCUGUCUUGUAUUGCCAAGUUGGUCUUGGUCAUGCCUCACUCCAAUGCUGAUGCAGAGCGAGUUUUCUCUGUGGUUGGACUAAAUAAGACCAAGACCCGAAACAGUUUGGCUCUUGAGGGAACUCUGUCAUCCAUCAUGACCGUGAAGAUGGCGAGCCUUGAGCCAGACUGUUUUAAGUGGGAGCCCCCUGCCUCUGUCAUCAAGGCAUCAAAAUCUGCCACCAACACCUACAACGUUAGACAUGCUAAAUGAUUGACAAAUAAAUGUAUUUUGUCAAAAUUCUUGUCUUGUUAAUUUCUGGUUAAGAGAGGUUAGGAGGCCACAGUGCAGAGAGAGCAGCUGGCAUGGAGGUGAGGACAUCAGUCCUAAGGUAUAAAUCAAUGUUAAAAAAGGCCAAUUUUUUUGGUCGGCGGCCGAACGCUUCUGACUCUAAAGUCUCACUCUUGUCAUUUUCUGAAACUUGGC
Long non-coding RNA from Gadus macrocephalus (Pacific cod), 715 nucleotides. RefSeq lists it as uncharacterized. The transcript is spliced from 3 exons. Lineage: Eukaryota; Metazoa; Chordata; Actinopteri; Gadiformes; Gadidae. The record is from RefSeq and is a predicted model, not a curated record.